Long non-coding RNA from Hypanus sabinus (Atlantic stingray), 770 nucleotides. RefSeq lists it as uncharacterized. The record is from RefSeq and is a predicted model, not a curated record. Lineage: Eukaryota; Metazoa; Chordata; Chondrichthyes; Myliobatiformes; Dasyatidae. The transcript is spliced from 2 exons.
CACUCUUUCCAUUUCUGAUCCCUCUAUGAGUACUGUUGUGUGUUCCCUUGUCUUAUCCUCCUUGAAGUCCGUGGAGAUGUGGUGUUCUGAGGAUGAGACGAUUGACAUCAACAACCACAACCACUUUCCUUUGUGUCAGACGAACUGUCUUGGAACCAGCACUGAAGUGUAAUUAUGAAGAAAGCACGGCAGUGCCUCUACUUCCUCAGGAUUUUGUGGAGAUUCAGCAUGACAUCUAAAACUUCAACAAGUGGAUAUGGCUCAGUCCCUCUGUGAGGUAAAGGCCUCCCACCAUUGAGCAAAUCUACAUGGAAUGGGGUUACAGGGACCCCCCACCAUCCAGGACAUGUUCUCUUCUCACCCUUGCCAUCAGGAAGUUGGUACCGGAACCUCAGAACUCACACCUCCUGGUUCAGGAACAGUUACCACCCCUCAAGCAUUAAGUUCCCGAACAAUAGUUUAGUUCAACUUCACUUGACCCAUUAUUGAAAUGUUCACACAACCUAUGGACUCACUUUCAAGACUCUUCAUCUCAUGUUCUUGAAAUUUAUUGUUUAUUCAUUUAUUAUUAUUUUCUUUCUUUCUGUUUGCACAUUUUGUUGUCUUCUGUACCAUGGUUGAACACCCAAGUUGGUGUGGUCUUCCUUGAUUCUGUUCUGGCUAUUAUUCUGCGGAUUUAUUGAGUAUGCCAGCAAGGCAAUGAAUCUCAGGGUUGUAUAUGGUGACAUAUAUGUACUUUGAUAAUAAAUUUACUUUUAACAUUGAUCUGA